GGAGAGGUGCCAGAGCGGCCGAAUGGGAUGCCCUGCUAAGGCAUUGACCCUCCGGGGUCCGUGGGUUCAAAUCCCACCCUCUCCGCCA
This 88-nucleotide transfer RNA is filed under the name Ilumatobacter coccineus YM16-304. RNAcentral's name for it is "tRNA-Ser (GCT) (tRNA-Ser-GCT-1-1)". It matches the Rfam family "tRNA". From Rfam's summary of the family: Transfer RNA (tRNA) molecules are approximately 80 nucleotides in length. Their secondary structure includes four short double-helical elements and three loops (D, anti-codon, and T loops). Further hydrogen bonds mediate the characteristic L-shaped molecular structure. tRNAs have two regions of fundamental functional importance: the anti-codon, which is responsible for specific mRNA codon recognition, and the 3' end, to which the tRNAs corresponding amino acid is attached (by aminoacyl-tRNA synthetases). tRNAs cope with the degeneracy of the genetic code in two manners: having more than one tRNA (with a specific anti-codon) for a particular amino acid; and 'wobble' base-pairing, i.e. permitting non-standard base-pairing at the 3rd anti-codon position. RNAcentral also lists the same sequence under 5 other names. The record is from RNAcentral. Lineage: Bacteria; Bacillati; Actinomycetota; Acidimicrobiia; Acidimicrobiales; Ilumatobacteraceae.